CCUGGUGGCUCGUCGUCGUAGCACCACCCGAUCCCAUUCCGAACUCGGAAGUGAAAUGCGAUUGAGCCGAUGAUACUCAUCAGGGGAAAGUAGGUAGCCGCCAGGA
This 106-nucleotide ribosomal RNA is filed under the name Candidatus Ryanbacteria bacterium RIFCSPHIGHO2_01_45_13. RNAcentral also lists the same sequence under 6 other names. The record is from RNAcentral. Lineage: Bacteria; Candidatus Ryaniibacteriota.